UGUAAGCGUAUACCAAAGUUGUUGCAGUUAAAACGCUCGUAGUCGGAAUUUGGCAGUUCCGGAAGUGUGCACGUCGUGUGCGCACUUCGCGGGGACUGCUUUUGUGGUCUUGCGUAGGAUGAGGCACUUUCAUUAGUGAACGUCCUCACGCAACCACUCUUUACUGUGAGAAAAUCAGAGUGCUCAAAGCAGGCAUUUGCCGUGAAUGUAUUAGCAUGGAAUAAUAGAAUAGGACUCGGUUCUAUUUUGUUGGUUUGUUGGGACUGAGUAAUGAUUAAGAGGGACAGUUGGGGGCAUUUGUAUUCCGGCGCUAGAGGUGAAAUUCUUAGAUUGCCGGAAGACAAACUGCUGCGAAAGCGUCUGCCAAGGAUGUUUUCAUCGA
Molecule: ribosomal RNA, 382 nt
Filed under: uncultured eukaryote
Lineage: Eukaryota
Description: partial 18S ribosomal RNA
Rfam family: Eukaryotic small subunit ribosomal RNA
Source: RNAcentral